Corapipo altera (White-ruffed manakin) is the source of this 7071-nucleotide RNA transcript. It is a transcript of the gene named La ribonucleoprotein domain family member 7, with no coding region annotated. The transcript is spliced from 15 exons. Lineage: Eukaryota; Metazoa; Chordata; Aves; Passeriformes; Pipridae. The record is from RefSeq and is a predicted model, not a curated record.
GAUGACAGGAAUGGAGACUGAAACAGGGAGAGACAAAGCCAUGGAAGAAGAGAGCACUGAACAGAAAAAGGAGAGGGAGAAGAAGAAGAGGUCAAGGGUUAAACAGGUGCUGGCAGAUAUAGCCAAGCAAGUGGAUUUCUGGUUUGGGGAUGUAAAUCUCCACAAAGACAGAUUUCUCCGAGAACAGAUAGAGAAGUCCAGAGAUGGGUAUGUUGACAUAUCACUUCUUGUUUCUUUCAACAAGAUGAAAAAAUUAACUACUGAUGGGAAGCUGAUCGCUCGGGCAGUUAAAAGCUCCUCUGUUGUGGAGCUGGACUUGGAAGGAACCAGAAUCAGAAGACGCCAACCACUGGGUGAGAGGCCAAAGGAUGUGGACAGUCGGACUGUCUAUGUGGAGCUGCUUCCCAAAAAUGUCAAUCACAGUUGGAUCGAGAGGGUGUUUGGCAAGUGUGGGAACGUGGUUUAUGUCAGUAUCCCCCGGUACAAAACCACUGGGGACCCAAAGGGCUUUGCUUUUGUGGAAUUUGAAACUAAAGAGCAAGCAGAGAAAGCUAUUGAGUUUUUGAAUAAUCCACCAGAAGAAGCGCCACGGAAACCUGGGAUUUUCCCCAAAACAGUGAAGAAUAAACCUGUUCCUACACUGAACACAAGUGACAGCACUGUAGUAGAGGAGAAGAAAAAGAAGAAAAAAAAGAAAUCCAAAAUGAAGAAAGAGAGCAAUGCACAGGCAGCUGCAGAGCCAAAGGAAUCAAACACCAACACUACAAUGGAGCCAACACCCAAACCAAAAAGACACAGGACUCCAUCUGAGUGUUCUGAAAUGGAGGGAACUGAGACUCCAAGGCAGCCCUCCAGGAGGGAGAAAAGGAAAUGGGACAAAACAGAAAAUUCAGAGGUAACUUGUGAAAGCAGGCCUGGGAAGAGAAAAAGAACCAGCUCAGGAGAUGGGGAGACAUCGGCUCCAAAAGUCAAGAAAACUGCUGAAAAGGAUGAAGCUGAACCAGUAAAAGAAGAAACAACAGAAGCUCCAAAGGAUUCCAAUGGUAAAGAAGUUUCUGCAGAAGACGACAAAGAUAAAAAAGACACAUCUCUUUCCAAAGCUAAAAGGAAACACAAGAAGAAACACAAGGAAAGGCACAAAAUGGAGGAAGAAGUCAUCCCCCUCAGAGUGCUGUCCAAGACCGAGUGGAUGGGUUUGAAGCAGGAAUAUUUGGCCCUGCAGAAAGCCAGUAUGGCCUCGUUAAAGAAAACCAUGUCUCAAAUCAAACCUGAGCCCGCGGGGGAGAUGGAAACGGAAUCCUGCGCCCAGAAAUCGCAAAAUCACAAAACAGCCACCGGUGAAGAUUGUGCCCCUCCCGCCAAGGCCAACACAAUGGGGCCUCAGUUCGUCAGCGGAGUAAUUGUGAAGAUCAUUAGCACCGAGCCCCUGCCGGGCAGGAAGCACAUCAAGGAUGCUCUGGCAGUGCUGGCUGAGGUGGCUUAUGUUGACAUGCUGGAGGGAGACACCGAAUGUCACGUCCGCUUCAAGACUCCUGAGGAUGCCCAGACUGUCCUGAAAUCCCACAAAGAGAUCCAGAUCAAAAACAACUGCAAAUUCGAAGUUCUCACUGGUGACAAUGAACAACGUUACUGGCAGAAGAUUUUAGUGGACAGACAAGCUAAACUUAACCAGCCUCGAGAAAAGAAGAGGGGGACUGAGAAGCUGAUUGCCAAGGCUGAGAGGAUGAGACUGGAGAAGACUCAGCAGACAAGCAAACACAUUCGCUUCACUGAUAACAACUAACCAGGACUUGAUGAUCUUCGAGUGUGAACUGCAGAACAAUCUUCGGUGGAAGAAAAUAAUAUCUUUGUUUGAUACCUGUGGUUGCCUUAGCUCCAGAAGUAGUUCUUACUUGCAGAUAAGUGUUAAAAGUCGGGUAGUUCACAGGUUAAGAUGGUGAUUUUAAUGGCUUUCAAGUAUUUCACGGGAGACUGGCAAUAUUUUAAAAAUCCCCGAAGGUAAAACCGGAAUUCUACAGGGGGCUGCACUUGUGAGUGACUCAGCCCUGCUGGCAGGGAGGGAGUGAAUGGAGAGGAUUAGCACGACUCAAUGGAGAAGGGAAUAGCAGCGAUCAGGCUGGAGAUACCAGGAAAACAGAGGGGAAAAGUGCAAGAUAAGGGACAAACAAAAGGGCUGCAAGGGCUGGAGGGGAAGAGCUUGCUGAUGGUUCUUGGAAAUGGUGUGUGGAGGAUUCCUCCCAGGGGAAAAGUGGGGGAAGGCUAAGAAUUAACCCGGGUGCCAGGCAUUCCCCUGUGGACUCCUGCACUAUUCAGGUGUUUAGUCCAAUCGCAGCAUUUUUUAUUUAUUAUUAUCAUUUAAUCUUGAACUCCUCCCAUUCUAGGUGGGUAAGAUAUUUGAUGACACGAGAAAAAUGAUUUUCAUACCUACCUAUGAAAAGAAUUGAUCCAUUACUGUUUUUUCUAGGCAUUCUGCCUAAAAGACAGUUUGUUUUCUUUUUCCAUGGCUGUGAUGUGAAGGGGAAAAAAUAAACCCACAAGCCUACUCUGGGUAAAAUGUUCAGGAUUUUGCUGCUGAAGUUCAUUUGAGUCAAAAAUAUAUCCGUGUUAUUAAAUAAUUCAGCUCAUAAAUGAUUCAGACUUUUUAUGGGUGGUGGAGAGUGGAACUCAACUGCAAAAGCCUAAGUCUGGGAGUUAUUGGUCUUGUAUUUAUAUUUUCUGACUUUAACACACAGAAGUCACCCUUCUGUCCCUUUCCAUAUUUAUACAGGUUAAUUCCUUACACUUCAACAUGUUUCCUUUUUCUCCUUUCCCAAACUAGUGCAGCAAUCUGCUUCAGCAGGGAAGGACAGUCGGUGUUUUAUUACUUCCUGAAGAAGUUAAUAACAGCAUUUUUGCUCUUAAUUCACAAGUCAGGAGUGGAGAGGAUGGUCUAGAUGCUUUAACAAAACCUUGGAUUCUCCAGGAUGUGCCAGAAUGAGGGAAGGCUGCUGGAUGGCAGACAGUGUGUCCUGCUGCGUGGGCAGAUGUUAAUCAACCUGUCUCACCACAGUGGUUCUGACACGGGCCAUCACCACCUUUCCAAAUCUCCACGGCUGCCUCAUCCAGAGAGGGCCUGACCCAGGUUCAAGGGGUUAAUUUUGAAAACAUUUUUUUUUCCUCGUGUCUCAGGACUGUCUGGUUUUAGCUGUGAUGGGGAUCAGAAGUGACAAGGUACCGCAGGGGAGCUGUUCUCCUGGGCUUUGCAUCAUGCCUGAAGCCAGACCAGGAACAUCCUGAGAGGGGCUGAUCCACCAGACCCCUCAGAUGACACCACUUUGACCAAGCAGAGUUGCUUCCCAGGUUUUUUUGGCAUUCACCUCUCAGAGCACACCAGGAUGUUUCCAGAGCCAGGUGUGAUGGUGGCUCUGUGCAGAGCCAGGACAGACCCUUUUGGGGAGGGGGCUGCACAUGUGGCUGUGGGUCAUGGAGAACGUGACUGAUAUUCUUGGCCUCAGCAAGCUGACUCGGUAUUGUGACUGCAGUGUCCCUUGGGAACAUCCUGUGUGUGCUGUGGAAAAGGCAAGGAGCAAUUAUGUCAGAAGGAAAAGAUGUUAUUUUUCAGUGCCAUGGCUCUGCUGUGGAUGCUCGGAGAAGAGCUCACAGGGAUCUCAGACCAAACAGACACGUCAGAUGUGUUGCUAUGGCCAGAUACAGAUAUUUCCAAAUGGGUAUGGCUAUUAAAUACAUGGGAGAUAACAGCAAUCUGAGAAGCACACAAGACAGAAAUAUAGUGAGACCAAAUACUUGGUUCGGACCAAAUUAGAGGUUUUUUUGUCUGAUUUUUAAAUGCAGCAACUCAAAAAGGCCUUUUCACACAGUAGAAAAGCCUCUUUUGCUGUUUCAAAGCUUAGCACAGAAAGCUGAUAGACAGAAAGGAAAAUACAGCUUCCCAAAUCUAUCUUUUACAUAAAAUCAAAAUAAGGAUCCUGACAUUAGGACAGGACAAGACCCAAGACUGAAGCCACUGUGUGGCUUUCAAUAUCAAAAUGCAAAGCCCAGCAUUACAUGACACUAAUCUAUGUGAUAGCACGGGCAGCUUGAGGCCCAUCAGGUCCAUCUGAUGAGGUUCUGCCACCAUCCCAUCUGUUUUGUAUUCAUCUGUCACUGAGACUCUGAGCCACUGGGGAGGAAAAAGAACUGGCAAUGUCACCGUGGCUUUCUGACAUCCUUACAAGCAGUGUGGGGAUUGCUAGAGGUUGUUUCCUGGUGCUUAUCAGGGACAUCAAAAUGUAACUAAAUACCACCUAGGAGGAAAUACUGUUGUUACCCAUCGGGAGUUCCAGACCCAAAACUGCUGUUACACCGUGUUUCAGCUGUUCCUGAUAGAAAGGAGAUGUGUGUUGGGCACAGUCCUGAGUCCUGCUGGAGAGUCCACUGCAACCACUAAGGAAAAGGGUACAGUGUGGGCUCUCUGAGCUGCAAUGUGCUGCUAACGCUCCGUGCAGUUGUCUCAGCCAAAUCUUCGUCUAAUUUGCUUUAGCAGCAGAUGUUAAAAGGAAGAACAAAUCAAAGCAGCUGUAUACCCAGUGGGACUGAGGUUUCCUUGAGCUCGGCACUCAUCUCCAGCAGCAGCAGCAGUUGGCACCCAGGGAAGAGGAAAAAAAAAGUGGAUAAAGAGACACUGAAAGUUCCCUGAAACAGCCCCUGAGCCUCUGGAGUGCAAAGCUGCCCUACUUUACACCAUCACCUUGGAGAUGGAAAACACAGUUCUCUGCAAAAUCUGCUUGUCACGAUUCCCAAUGUUUUUUGUAUCAGAGGUGAGGCAGCCAAACCCUGACCCCGCUGAAAAUCCCUGGGCGGUCACAGCUGAGUUUGGCGCGGUGGGGGCUGUGCCUCCGGGAGGGAGGCACAGAGAAGUAUUUCGGACGUUCCUCGCAGGUCCCGGCACAGCUUUGUGCGCGUCUCCUUUGUUCUCCGGCAGUUUCCAUGGUGCUCCCGCUUUUGUGUGCAGACCUGUCUGCGGGCAGCACUUCUUCUCCAACGCCGAUUUCCCGAGGCGAGGCGGCGCAUCGCAUUGCCGUGCCCGUGCUGCAGAGCUGCCGGGCGUCAGCCACCGCCGGCAUCCUGCAGCCUGGCACUCGGGAACCUCGGGAAACUACGGAUUCGUGUGUUUUAAAGGAACGGAGCGAUACGCAGUAACCCAGCUCAGCCUUUCGCCGGUCGUGUUUAGCAGUAUGAGAGGAGGGAGGGCUCUUAUCCGAAGGGAUCGUUGCUGUAAAAUGAAAAGGCAGGGCAAGAAGCAGCAGCCAUGCUGCUGUUUGCUGCAGCACUCUGCAAAUUCGAUCUGCAGAUGAUCUGUAGGUGUAACAAAGCAUCAUUCCCCUCGCACAGGCAAGGAUGAACUAAUUUAUCUGUUAUCCAGCUGUUAAUUCUCUGCUGAUCGUUCUGAUACCGGAGCACUGACCUCCUGAAUGGCAUCAGCAGGGAGGAACUCGUGGUCCUCACGUCAGGCACAAAGUCAGAAUAACCUGUCCUCUGCUAUUUAUGCCCAGGAAUGAUAUCCCUCAAGAAGCCCUGAGCCUUGAGCCUGCUCAGAGGAUCACAGUAGAGGGCUUAGAGCCCAAGACUAGAAAUAUUUCAGCGGGAAAACCGGUUCUGGGCAUCUUACAGGCUGUUCAUCCAAAAGGAACUGGAGUGUAAAAUCACUGCCCAAGUGAAAAAGCAGGCGAAAGGGCAAAGCUGUGCCAAGGGGGGAUUGUACCUCCCAGGCACAGCAGAGAGUACAUUAAAUGGUGGGAAUCAGGUCUGUUUAGCAGGAAUGCAAUUUAAUCCAGGACCUGCAGAUACCAAUAAGAAAAAACAUUAAUAUCAAAAUAUAGAGAGAAUAUCACUGGGGGCACAAGGGUGGCUUAGAAAGAGAUGUCUUCAUCACAAAAACUAAAUACUGCUUUUUCUUCACUAAGGUGAAGCUUGUACUGUGUGCUGGGAGAGAACAGGCUGGACAUGGAAAUGAGCGUUUGGUAAGCCUUGGCAGAGGUUUUCAAGGAUGCCUAGAAAAUUAUAAUGCCCAAUUAAGUAGGAAUUGGUCAUCCAAGUCCCUUAGGCGGUCCUGAAAAUUGCAGCCACUCUGCACUGCAUCUCAUUUUCAGUCAGAUUUGUCCCUUCUGCUUCUCUUUGCACUCCUCUUCCAGCACCAUCCGCAGCUCCUGCUGGCGCAGAGCUCCAGCUGAGGCUGAAGCCAAGGAGCAGGGCUUGGACACAUGGCAUUCCAGCAGCCUCAGUGGGGACAGGAGAGGGGAUAGUCUGCCUCUGUUGAGGCCAUUCAGAGCUGGAGCUUCUCUGUAUUAGCUUAACUUCCUAGGAACCCCUGAGAAUUUUACUGUCCUUGAUUUCCUUCAGCAGCUCCACUCUUGGAAUGGGCUGUGCCUGGGCACAAGAGGUGAGGGAAGCCCUUCACCUGGCAGAGGCCUGGGAGAUAAGAAAGGAGUGAAAAAGCCUCAUUAUUUUAGAGGUAGAUUUGCAAGAAAACAGGAGGGAAACCUCAUUCUAGAUGUCAGCAGGAACAGCAUCCCAAGGUUUCCUGGGAGCCCCGCUCCAAUACCACCUUUAAAUAUGGAAGACUUGCUCGUGGCCACAGCACUGCUUCCCUCUCACCUGGGUCUUAGUUUUCCAUUGAUUCUGUCUGAUCCAGCCUUCUCAAUGACUAAAUCUCCACUUCCCACAACCUGCUAUCAGUUGUUAUUCCUUCUCAGCCCUCCUCCUCAUCCAGAUCCAUCCAGUCUAUCCGCGGCCCUGGAGUUCCUGAGCUGUGUUGCCAGCCUGCAGGAGGCUGGAAUUGUGCUGGUACUUCUCAGGAAUAAACCUACUGGUUGUGCACAAGGCACGGUGGUGGGAUCCAAGGAAAGGACGUGUCCUUGUGCGACAGAGCUGACCUGGACAGAUGUUCCUUUUGGAAGUACCAGGACAUGGAGAGCGGCAAUGGAACAAAUAGAGGUGAGCAGGAUGAAAGCUCUCUCUCGUACGGGUUUGGAAAAACACCCUCUCCACCUGUAGUAUUCCACAAGUGAGGAAUAACGGUGCUUUCCCAUCAAA